AAAAAAAGGAGGAAGGGGGAUGGGGGGUGGAGAGAUGUAAUGCAGCUUUCCAGAACGAGAAGUUCUCUCCCCGGUUUACAUUUUUCAACUCAUUGACGUAUGUGAAAGAAAAAACAAGUGAUAAAUUCUCAACCUCAGCAUACAUUUCAGGCCAUCACUCCUAAUUAUUUCUAUCAGUCCUAUUGUCAGUUGCACUCCCUUACCGGCCUCCCCCAACCUAAAAGUGAUACUUUCCAAGUUUUUAGCAGUUUAAUGAAGCAGCAUUUUUGUAGACCCAAUUCGCAGGUGCAGCAGAGGCCUUGGCAAGGGGCAAACUGAUUAUCACUUAUGAAAACAGCCACACUGUAUUGUUCAUACUUCUUCAAGGUCUUGAGCAAAGCAUAAAUUCUGAUGAAAAUGAACUGGGUGCAGUCAGAGAUUGAGACAGCUAAUAAGGUUCCCUCUCUGCACCCUUGCCAGCUGGGGAAUUUCCAUUACUUUUGCUCGUUGUUCCUUUUUCCUAUGCAUAUACUUCUUUGAGAAUUGGAUCUAAAGAGGCAUAGGGCAUGGGAAAAUGGGGCGACUGAGGUACUCCACCAGUCACCCUGAGAAGCAUUGCUAGGAGGCAUGUAAGAAAAAUGCACUGAAAGUCACAGGUAUAAAGAAACAGAGGUUUUAUUGCAAAACACUUAUUGUGAAGAAAAUGCUUAUGAAUAGUAAUAUGUGAGAAAUUGAUAUAAUCUUUAUUAGGGCAGCAUAGCUGAAAGUUUAUUGCAUGUUAAAGUUGCUUUUUAAUGUGUUAUGAGAAUAGUAUGUUGUUCUUAUCUGUUGUCCAAAUACAAGAAUCAGUAUAUCUAGUAGAGAUUAAGCUUUUAAUAAAAUAUGUUACUGUUUCUAUAGUCUACACUUAAGCAAAGGUCCCAUUAAAAUUAAUUGCAAUUUUGUCUGUACAGUAUAAGGCUGCAGGUGUAGGCACUUUGGGUCUGAUCCAAAGCCUGUUGAAAUCACUGGAAGUCAUUCCACUGAGUUCAACAAGCAUUGAAAAUCAGCCCCAAUCAUGCCACUGAUAUUUGUACUAGUUGUCUUUAAUAAGACUGUUCAGGUGAGCAAGUUUGGGGGGACUUUUACCCAAUGCUGCAAAAGGCUAAGUGCCUUCUGUAAGGUGCUGGGGAUCUACAACCCCCACUGAAAGUAUCAACUGGUCUAAUAAAAGGUAUCAUCAUCUCUGAACCAAGAAUUCUACAGUUUUGCAUUUCUUUUUGUCUCAGACCAACGUGGCUACCAAAUAUAUCCUUUGCAUUAUCAAGCAUUUAGUUAGAAACAAAAGAAGACACAUGUUAUAUAUAAACCCUUACUUUUUCUUUGUUUCAUCCACAGAUAUCUUGGAAGUUGGACCUAUUCUCCUGAUUACUGUUUUUCAGGCAGAAUACAUAAAAAAAAAUCCAUUCUUUGUGCUGCUUUUUAUAUUUAUAGUCGUUUAGUCUACAUGGAAAUAUUUCUGAGAAAGAGAACAUUAAAAAGAACCUUGAAUUAAUUUGAAUUGAAACAAAUACUAAGUUGUAUGCGCUACAAGUCAAAUGAAUCUAAUGUGCAGUCAUACAGCGAAAUAUGGUAUCACAAAUUCUAACAAUAUUUGUUUAUUGCUACAUGCUUAGACAGGGUAGUGCAUAUUACACUGCAUUUCAUGUUAACAUAUACUAUUAUAACAUCAUAUUAUACAGGCUAAUUUAAACUAAUAUUCAGUAUUGAGCUACUGUUUUAAUUGCUUUUAAUCUGAUAAGGUAUUAGAGAACUUUCAUUUUACUUAUGAGUUCUUUUCCAUAAAUUAAAAGGUAAUAAAAAAAUUCUAUCCAUA
Molecule: long non-coding RNA, 1834 nt
Organism: Alligator mississippiensis (American alligator)
Lineage: Eukaryota; Metazoa; Chordata; Crocodylia; Alligatoridae
Exons: 2
Source: RefSeq, a predicted model, not a curated record